GACGAACGCUGGCGGCGUGCUUAACACAUGCAAGUCGAACGGAAAGGCCCUGCUUGCAGGGUGCUCGGGUGGCGAACGGGUGAGUAACUCGUGGGUGGUCUGCCAUGCACUUCGGGAUAAGCCUGGAAAACUGGGUCUACUACCGGGUAGAAGCAAUUUUCAGCGUGAGGGUUGGAAAGUUUUUUCGGUGUUGGAUGAGGUGGCGGCCUCUUAGCUUGUUGGUGGGGUAAUGGACUACCAAGGCGGCGACGGGUCGCCGGCCUGAGAGGGUGGACGGCCAGCUUGGGACGGAGAGACGGACCAGCCUGCUACGGGAGGCAGCAGUGGGGAAUAUUGCACAAGGGGCGCAAGCCUGAUGCAGCGAGGCCGCGUGGGGGAUGACGGCCUUCGGGUUGGAAGCGCAUUUCGCUAGGGACGAAGCAUUUUGUGACGGUACCUAGAGAAGAAGCACCGGCUAACUACGUG
Molecule: ribosomal RNA, 465 nt
Filed under: uncultured bacterium
Lineage: Bacteria
Description: partial 16S ribosomal RNA
Rfam family: Bacterial small subunit ribosomal RNA
Source: RNAcentral